AAAGCGUGCGCAGGCGGUUUUGUAAGUCUGUCGUGAAAGCCCCGGGCUUAACCUGGGAAUUGCGAUGGAGACUGCAAGGCUUGAAUCUGGCAGAGGGGGGUAGAAUUCCACGUGUAGCAGUGAAAUGCGUAGAGAUGUGGAGGAACACCAAUGGCGAAGGCAGCCCCCUGGGUCAAGAUUGACGCUCAUGCACGAAAGCGUGGGGAGCAAACAGGAUUAGAUACCCCAGU
This 230-nucleotide ribosomal RNA is filed under the name uncultured bacterium. RNAcentral's name for it is "partial 16S ribosomal RNA". It matches the Rfam family "Bacterial small subunit ribosomal RNA", at positions 562 to 791 of the family's 1533-position model. The record is from RNAcentral.